UACGUAGGGGGCAAGCGUUGUCCGGAUUUAUUGGGCGUAAAGAGCGUGUAGGCGGCCAGAUAGGUCCGUUGUGAAAACUCGAGGCUCAACCUCGAGACGCCGAUGGAAACCAUUUGGCUAGAGUCCGGAAGAGGAGAGUGGAAUUCCUGGUGUAGCGGUGAAAUGCGCAGAUAUCAGGAAGAACACCCGUGGCGAAGGCGGCUCUCUAGUACGGUACUGACGCUGAGACGCGAAAGCGUGGGGAGCGAACAGG
Molecule: ribosomal RNA, 253 nt
Filed under: uncultured bacterium
Lineage: Bacteria
Description: partial 16S ribosomal RNA
Rfam family: Bacterial small subunit ribosomal RNA
Source: RNAcentral